RNAcentral lists this unclassified non-coding RNA (254 nucleotides) under Hevea brasiliensis (rubber tree). The record is from RNAcentral. Lineage: Eukaryota; Viridiplantae; Streptophyta; Magnoliopsida; Malpighiales; Euphorbiaceae.
UGGCUCACUAAUUUUCUGGCAUAUUUUAGUCUUGAAGACCGCUCAUGUGUUGGUGUUCUUAUUAAGUAGCUUUGUUUUAAGUAGACUGGUUUUAGCAUCCAAAAUAGGUAGAAGGCGGCAGCUUUGAAGGAAACAUCCUUAGUCUCCAUGCUUCUCCUGUACGGCACUGCAAUAGACAGCAGCGCUUACUGCUUAUUCAUCUCAUCUUAGCCGUUUAUGCAAUGCAUGUGCAUGUCCACUGCAUGAACGGCUGG